CAAUAGUGUAUAUUAAAGUUGUUGCGGUUAAAAAGCUCGUAGUUGGAUUUCUGCUGAGAACGACCGGUCCGCCCUUUGGGUGUGUAUCUGGCUCUUUCUUGGCAUCUUCUUGGUGAACGUUGCUGCACUUGACUGUGUGGAGCGCUACCCAGGACUUUUACUUUGAGGAAAUUAGAGUGUUUCAAGCAGGCAUACGCCUUGAAUACAUUAGCAUGGAAUAAUAAGAUAGGACCUCGGUUCUAUUUUGUUGGUUUCUAGAGCUGAGGUAAUGAUUAAUAGGGAUAGUUGGGGGCAUUCGUAUUUAACUGUCAGAGGUGAAAUUCUUGGAUUUGUUAAAGACGGACUACUGCGAANGNAUUUGCNAAGGAUGUUUNCAUUG
This 379-nucleotide ribosomal RNA is filed under the name uncultured eukaryote. Its description in RNAcentral is "partial 18S ribosomal RNA". It matches the Rfam family "Eukaryotic small subunit ribosomal RNA", at positions 592 to 975 of the family's 1831-position model. The record is from RNAcentral.